Long non-coding RNA from Phyllostomus hastatus (greater spear-nosed bat), 897 nucleotides. RefSeq lists it as uncharacterized. Lineage: Eukaryota; Metazoa; Chordata; Mammalia; Chiroptera; Phyllostomidae. The record is from RefSeq and is a predicted model, not a curated record. The transcript has 4 exons.
AGGUGAGCGUAGAGGUGCGUAACGCCCUUUCCGAGUUUGUGAAAGCCACGUUAGAGUCGAACGGUGACGCUUCUUGGUGUUUCAGAUAGAGGGACUGCAGUCCCGCCAGGGGGCGCCAGCGUCGCUAGCGUAGCCCGCGCGGAUCGCCGUGCGCUGCGCGCUUCUCAGCCACUUAACUUAUUCCAGAUGUUUGAACUUCCAACACAUCGGUAGCUUCCUUUUACCACACUAUCAACGGAUAAUGGGGUCGCUCAACGUCCGUGACGGGGUGUACGUAAGCUGGGCACGGAGGAAAAGUCAGGUGAGCACAGAAUGAGAAGACAGCUGCCUACAAGCCAGGAAAAUAAUCCUUACCAAGAAGCAAACCUGUCAGCACGUUGAUCUUAGACAUUCCAGCCUCCAGAAUGGUGGGACGCUCAAGUUCCCUGAGGAAGAGACACCUGAGCUGAAACCUGAUUGGGAAGAAGCCAUUCACUUGCAUCUUCAUCUGAAGACAGAGCAUCCUCCACAGAAGGAACAGCAAAGGCAGGAACCACCUGUGUCUCAGGAAUAGGAGACACCUCAGGAUAGGACCUCAGAAGGAAGUGGGAGAGGCCCCAAAAGAUCCAUCCACAUCUGGGACCUAGUCACCUACAUGGGGUCACUCUUUGCCUGAGGAACAGAACGGGCUCCAGACACCACCAGAACUCCUUUCUGUUGCUGCUGACUCUCCGCCUUUCCCAGACUCACCACCAUCAUGACAUCAUUAAUACAGUGCCCAGCAUACCAGGCCAAAAUAGCCACAACGGAUGUAAAAGAAGAAGAGGGGACGUAACAGUAACACCAGAUCCAUCAUUCCUACCGUAAAGCAUUUGUCAUUGGGGACUUGAGUAUUGGGAUUAAACAUGGCCUGGCACA